ACUCAAUAGGUUGAAUAUGGUUGCUUAAAUGCAUUAAUAUGGGAACUCUGGUGAGAAGCCAGGACAGCCCCGCUACUGUAUGAAUGACGAAUCCCUUAAUGGAAACCACUGGGUGAAACCGGGAAGGCAAGGGAGGAGGAUGAUUUCAAGUCAGGAUACCUGCCAUGUUCAAAAGUCACAA
RNAcentral lists this non-coding RNA (181 nucleotides) under Desulfosporosinus youngiae. The record is from RNAcentral. Lineage: Bacteria; Bacillati; Bacillota; Clostridia; Eubacteriales; Desulfitobacteriaceae. RNAcentral also lists the same sequence under 1 other name.